Molecule: ribosomal RNA, 1353 nt
Filed under: Triticum aestivum (bread wheat)
Lineage: Eukaryota; Viridiplantae; Streptophyta; Magnoliopsida; Poales; Poaceae
Description: partial small subunit ribosomal RNA
Source: RNAcentral
AUGUAUGACAUCAUGUACACCAAGGCAGCAGUGAUCCACACUUGGCCUGGCUACAUCAUCCGUCUCGCCUCGCCGCCCCUCACUCUCACCGCCCUCUUACUGUUUUUCUUGCACAGUAAAGAUGGCAUGGAGGGGAUAGAUAUCACCAUCACUUAUGCCCUGCUGAUUGGCACCUUCCUGCUGGAUGUGAGAUGGCUGCUCAGAGCGCUGGGCUCGUCCUGGACAUACGCAUUCUUGCAAGAUACUACAAGAUGCGAGCUGCUCAAGAAGACACUUUGCUGCCGGCGUGGGUGCUGGUAUGGGCUCCGUCGCUUUGUUCUCUGUCUGGAUCCGUCCCGUCUGUGGCGUCAAGGGGAAUGUAGCCACAGGCUUUGGUCGCGCACCAUGGGGCAGCACAACUUGUUGGGCGAGUGCACUGAUGGCACACCGAUGAGCAAGAUUGGAUGGGAUGACAACUCUAAGACUAAGAGCGCAGGGGUCGGGUCAUUGGUGGAAGAGUUAUGUGCAGACAUAUGGCCGCAUAUAUCUCAUGCCUAUAUCCUAAGGAGGGUGCCAGAGAAGGAUAUGGGUCCCAUGCCCCCACAAGCUUCCGAUAGGCGUAGGUCAUUCAGCGAGGAAAGGCGCUUUGGUGCUGAAUUUGAUGAGCUCGUUAUCACGUGGCACAUUGCUACGGACAUCUUCCUCUUGGGCAGGACCGAAACUGAACAAGAUGAACAUUGUGACACCUUUCAGAAGAUCAAGGCCCUAUCAGACUACAUGAUGUUCCUCGUCGCUAAACGUCCGGAAAUGCUGCCAGGCCUUAAACUCCACAGCCAUUAUGAAGAAACCCGUGUUGCUUUGGAGGGGAUCAAAUCCAGAUGUAACGGAUGUACAGACAGUCAGAAGCUUGCCGACGAGCUAGGGAAGAUGCAGCAUUCCUAUUCCGGGCUGUUAACUAAUAAGGUUCUCCGGGACGCUGUUAUUUAUGCCAAACUGCUCAAGAAGCUGUGUCUGGCUGAGCAUGUGUACCAAGAAUGGAGCACAAUUUUCGGCGAUGUAGUUUUUGAGGUAAUAAUUUCCAGAGAUGAUGAGAUGAAAGAUGAACUCGAGAGAAGACUUCUAAUUCUGGUCCCGAAAUUCAAGAAUUAUGCACGGCCAUCUGAUGGGCGUGUGCGUGUGGGCUGGCCACUGGAAGAGGUGUUAAGGAACUUCGUUCUCCAAUCAUGGGUCCGUUUGCUCGUCUUGGGGUCGAUUCGCUGCAGCAGGGAUUCACACGCCAAGCAGCUGGGCUGUGGUGGUGAGCUCACAACUAUCCUCUGGAUCCUAGCUGAGCACAAGGACAUAAUCAACGUAACGAAAUUCACAAAGGACUAG